This 279-nucleotide long non-coding RNA is filed under the name Mytilus galloprovincialis (Mediterranean mussel). The record is from RNAcentral. Lineage: Eukaryota; Metazoa; Mollusca; Bivalvia; Mytilida; Mytilidae.
GCACGGGGGGGUAACUUCGAUAUUUUCUUGGUAGGGGUGUGCCAUUUUUGCCUCAAAAAACGUACCCAUUUUAAUAUAACAUUCACUGAAAUUCAGUACCUAUAGUUAUAUAAUUAUUUAAGAAAGAAUGACCUAUACUUAUAUACAAUAUUUAAAAUAUGACCCAUGCUUAUAUAAGCACUAACUCAUCGGUGUUCAUUUGGGAACUUAUUUGAAAGCACUUUGUUUGAAAGGUGAACUUUCAAAUGAAUUGAUUUAAUUUAAUAUAAUAAUUGACCA